This 139-nucleotide small RNA is filed under the name Paenibacillus sp. Its description in RNAcentral is "c-di-AMP sequence". It matches the Rfam family "c-di-AMP riboswitch aptamer (ydaO/yuaA leader)". Rfam says of the family: This family represents a conserved RNA structure found upstream of the ydaO and yuaA genes in Bacillus subtilis and related genes in other bacteria. The ydaO/yuaA element is thought to act as a genetic "off" switch for the ydaO and yuaA genes in its native state. The record is from RNAcentral. Lineage: Bacteria; Bacillati; Bacillota; Bacilli; Caryophanales; Paenibacillaceae.
AAUUACAAUAAGCUUAGUUCUCGGCGUUGCCGAGAAGCGGGGAAACCAAUCUUUUGGGGCGAAUCAGCCGGUUAUCGGCUGUAGGGAACCAUCUAUCCCGAGUCCGUCAGCUAACCUCGUCAGCUUUGAGAUGGGUCUU